This 322-nucleotide ribosomal RNA is filed under the name uncultured eukaryote. Its description in RNAcentral is "partial 18S ribosomal RNA". It matches the Rfam family "Eukaryotic small subunit ribosomal RNA", at positions 1470 to 1796 of the family's 1831-position model. The record is from RNAcentral.
CCCUUAGAUGUUCUGGGCCGCACGCGCGCUACACUGACUGGUGCAACAAGUGUCUGACCUUGGCUCGAGAGGCCUGGGCAACCUUUGAACGCCAGUCGUGCUGGGGAUAGAUUCUUGCAAUUAUUAAUCUUCAACGAGGAAUUCCUAGUAAACGCAAGUCAUCAGCUUGCAUUGAUUACGUCCCUGCCCUUUGUACACACCGCCCGUCGCACCUACCGAUUGAAUGGUCCGGUGAAAUCUCGGGACGGCGGCUUGGUCGCUUGCGUCCGACUGCUGAAACUUGAUUAAACCAUNUNAUUUAGNGGAAGGUGAANUCGUANCA